This 459-nucleotide ribosomal RNA is filed under the name uncultured bacterium. Its description in RNAcentral is "partial 16S ribosomal RNA". It matches the Rfam family "Bacterial small subunit ribosomal RNA", at positions 338 to 795 of the family's 1533-position model. The record is from RNAcentral.
CCUACGGGAGGUAGCAGUGAGGAAUAUUGGUCAAUGGCCGCAGGGCUGAACCAGCCAAGUCGCGUGAGGGAUGACGGCCCUAUGGAUUGUAAACUUCUUUUGUCAGGGAGUAAAGUGCGCCACGUGUGGCGCUUUGCGAGUACCUGAAGAAAAAGCAUCGGCUAACUCCGUGCCAGCAGCCGCGGUAAUACGGAGGAUGCGAGCGUUAUCCGGAUUUAUUGGGUUUAAAGGGUGCGCAGGCGGAGUGUAAAGUCAGCGGUAAAAUUUUGGGGCUCAACCCCAACGUGCCGUUGAAACUGGCGUUCUUGAGUGAGCGAGAGGUAUGCGGAAUGCGUGGUGUAGCGGUGAAAUGCAUAGAUAUCACGCAGAACUCCGAUUGCGAAGGCAGCAUACCGGCGCGCAACUGACGCUCAGGCACGAAAGCGUGGGUAUCGAACAGGAUUAGAUACCCGGGUAGUC